UCCUAAGUUAGGUCUUUGUUUCCAAUCACCAAGAUGGCAGUGUUCCUCACUUUGGUUCUUGUUGCUGUAAUCCUUGUUGAGCCAGUUGUGAAUGCUAGAUACUCACCAUUGGAUGGUGAUAAGCGACUCAAUUCACUGGACAAUGAGCAUCUUGUAACUAAUUUGCCUGGCCAGCCAGAUGUGGACUUCCGGCACUAUGCUGGUUAUGUUACAGUGAAUGAAAAUAAUGGAAGGGCACUCUUCUAUUGGUUCUACGAGGCCACCACUCACCCUGAUGAAAAACCUCUAGUGCUGUGGCUUAAUGGAGGUCCUGGGUGCUCUUCUGUGGGAUAUGGAGCAACACAAGAGAUUGGACCUUUCCUAGUGGACACUGAUGGACAUGGAAUUAAAUAUAAUCCCUACUCAUGGAAUAGAGAGGCCAACAUGUUAUUCCUGGAGUCCCCGGUUGGAGUUGGUUUUUCAUACUCAAAUACAACUAGUGACUACAGUGUUCUGGGAGAUAAUUUUACAGCAAUUGAUGCUUACGCUUUCUUGCAAAAGUGGUUUCGCAAAUUUCCAUCAUAUAGAACGCGGACAUUUUAUAUUGCUGGGGAAAGCUAUGCAGGAAAAUAUGUUCCGGAGCUUGCUGAGCUGAUACUUGACCGGAACGUGGAUUCAUUCCUUCACAUUGAUCUCAGGGGUAUUCUGAUGGGCAAUCCUGAAACAAGUGAUGCUGAGGACUGGGCAGGUAUGGUGGAUUAUGCUUGGAGCCAUGCUGUCAUAUCAGAUGAAACCCACAAGAUAAUCGGAAAAAGCUGCAACUUUAGAAGUAAUGAUACAUGGAGCAAUAAUGAUUGUAGCCAAGCUGUCGAUGAAUUAUUCAGACAGUACAACGAGAUAGAUAUUUUCAGCCUCUACACCUCAAUUUGUAUUGGUGAUGCAGCAAGUUCAGACGACAAAUCUAGGCAGGUCAAGUUUAUGCAUACAUCUACAAUGAUGCCAAGGAUCAUGGGUGGUUAUGAUCCAUGCCUGGAUGAAUAUGCAGGAGCUUUCUAUAAUAGACCUGAUGUUCAAAAGGCCCUCCACGUCAGUGAUGGUCACAGGCUCGAGAACUGGAGCAUCUGCAAUCAUAAGAUAUUCGACAAGUGGUCAGAUUCAAAGCGAUCAGUUCUUCCUAUAUACAAGAAAAUGAUUGCGGCUGGUCUUAGAAUAUGGGUCUACAGUGGAGAUACA
RNAcentral lists this unclassified non-coding RNA (1212 nucleotides) under Hevea brasiliensis (rubber tree). Lineage: Eukaryota; Viridiplantae; Streptophyta; Magnoliopsida; Malpighiales; Euphorbiaceae. The record is from RNAcentral.